AUGAAACGGUACCUCAAUAUGCUACCAUUGCUAAUAUGAACUGUUAAUAAUACUAAACUAAAAAGAUUAGAAUUGUCAUAUAAGUCAUUAUCCACGCAUCCACGACCUAUGAGAAACAUUUGCCCGAGUCCAACAACUAAUGUGAAGGAAAACAAGCAUAAAGCUAACAAUUUAAACACUUAAAUUCCUGACUACACAGCAGGUUUUGGAACAAAUCCAUUGUCAUAAAACAUAGGCUCAUCUAAGCAUGGAAUUUUUUUUUUCCUCCCCUUGGCAAUAGAUGCACAUAAAAUCCUUUUAGCAAAGCUACUCUUUGGAGGAUUUGUUGAUAAGUGACUUGUGAAUGUGAGGGAUGACUCCACCACCA
Molecule: unclassified non-coding RNA, 367 nt
Filed under: Hevea brasiliensis (rubber tree)
Lineage: Eukaryota; Viridiplantae; Streptophyta; Magnoliopsida; Malpighiales; Euphorbiaceae
Source: RNAcentral